GGCUCGAUAGCGGACGGUACGCACCUGCGUUCCGUAGAAAAUUUGUCGAAGAAUUACGCAGGAGAUCCCCGUUCGACUCGGGGUCGAGCCG
This is a non-coding RNA of Mycena vulgaris, 91 nucleotides long. The record is from the annotation of a GenBank genome assembly. NCBI's taxonomy places the organism in Eukaryota, Fungi, Basidiomycota, Agaricomycetes, Agaricales, Mycenaceae.